CAUUCACUCCAUUGGACUGGAGUAUUCCAUAAUAAAAUGGUGGGUGCACGGUGUGAAGGACUGGACGCAUUGUAACAAUUGCUACACUGAAUAGAAGAAACACCCAGUUCAUUAUAACGUCGUGUGGUCAUUUAUUCUGUGGGAAAUGCUAUGGUGAGAGAGAUAAGCUCUGUCUCGUAUGUAAGGCAGUGUGUAAUUCAGUUCUUGAUCUGUCAAAAGAAGCUCCACCAUAUGUCACGAUAUAUUUCAAGACUCCUUAGUCCAUUAUACAGGAAUUCGUCCUAAAUUUUGAAUGAGUGGCUAGGUUUCAAAAGGAGCAUAGGACUAGAUUAGUAAAGCACAAACUACAGAAA
This is a long non-coding RNA of Amphimedon queenslandica, 353 nucleotides long. RefSeq lists it as uncharacterized. The transcript has 4 exons. The record is from RefSeq and is a predicted model, not a curated record. NCBI's taxonomy places the organism in Eukaryota, Metazoa, Porifera, Demospongiae, Haplosclerida, Niphatidae.